CCUACGGGAGGCUGCAGUGGGGAAUAUUGGACAAUGGGGGCAACCCUGAUCCAGCCAUGCCGCGUGUGUGAAGAAGGCCCUCGGGUUGUAAAGCACUUUCAGUGAGGAAGAACGCCUGGUGGUUAAUACCCAUCAGGAAAGACAUCACUCACAGAAGAAGCACCGGCUAACUCCGUGCCAGCAGCCGCGGUAAUACGGAGGGUGCGAGCGUUAAUCGGAAUUACUGGGCGUAAAGCGCGCGUAGGUGGCUUGAUAAGCCGGUUGUGAAAGCCCCGGGCUCAACCUGGGAACGGCAUCCGGAACUGUCAAGCUAGAGUGCAGGAGAGGAAGGUAGAAUUCCCGGUGUAGCGGUGAAAUGCGUAGAGAUCGGGAGGAAUACCAGUGGCGAAGGCGGCCUUCUGGACUGACACUGACGCUGAGGUGCGAGAGCGUGGGUAGCAAACAGGAUUAGAUACCCGUGUAGUC
This 465-nucleotide ribosomal RNA is filed under the name Vreelandella stevensii. Its description in RNAcentral is "partial 16S ribosomal RNA". It matches the Rfam family "Bacterial small subunit ribosomal RNA", at positions 338 to 795 of the family's 1533-position model. The record is from RNAcentral. Lineage: Bacteria; Pseudomonadati; Pseudomonadota; Gammaproteobacteria; Oceanospirillales; Halomonadaceae.